This 502-nucleotide ribosomal RNA is filed under the name uncultured bacterium. RNAcentral describes it as "bacterial SSU rRNA". It matches the Rfam family "Bacterial small subunit ribosomal RNA", at positions 43 to 518 of the family's 1533-position model. The record is from RNAcentral.
CGUGCCUAAUACAUGCAAGUCGAACGGUCUUUCUAUGGAAGCUUGCUUCCACUGAGAAGAUAGUGGCGAACGGGUGAGUAACACAUGGGUAACCUGCCAUAAGAGGGGGGAUAACAUCCGGAAACGGGUGCUAAUACCGCAUAGUUUUCUUGAUCGCAUGAUUGAGAAAGGAAAGACGGCCUUUGUGCUGUCGCUUAUGGAUGGACCCGCGGCGUAUUAGUUAGUUGGUGAGGUAACGGCUCACCAAGACGAUGAUACGUAGCCGACCUGAGAGGGUGAUCGGCCACAUUGGGACUGAGACACGGCCCAAACUCCUACGGGAGGCAGCAGUAGGGAAUCUUCCGCAAUGGACGAAAGUCUGACGGAGCAACGCCGCGUGAGUGAAGAAAGGUUUUCGGAUCGUAAAACUCUGUUGUCAGAGAAGAACAAGUUGGAGAGUAACUGCUCCAGCCUUGACGGUAUCUGACCAGAAAGCCACGGCUAACUACGUGCCAGCCGCCGC